This 325-nucleotide ribosomal RNA is filed under the name uncultured bacterium. RNAcentral describes it as "bacterial SSU rRNA". It matches the Rfam family "Bacterial small subunit ribosomal RNA", at positions 28 to 334 of the family's 1533-position model. The record is from RNAcentral.
GACGAACGCUGGCGGCGCGCCUAACACAUGCAAGUCGAACGAGCGAGAGAGAGCUUGCUUUCUCGAGCGAGUGGCGAACGGGUGAGUAACGCGUGAGGAACCUGCCUCAAAGAGGGGGACAACAGUUGGAAACGACUGCUAAUACCGCGUACGAUAUGCUUUCGGCAUCGAGAGUAUAUGAAAGGUGGCCUCUAUAUAUAAGCUAUCGCUGAAGGAGGGGAUUGCGUCUGAUUAGCUAGUUGGAGGGGUAACGGCCCACCAAGGCGAUGAUCAGUAGCCGGUCUGAGAGGAUGAACGGCCACAUUGGGACUGAGACACGGCCCAA